CCUACGUGAGGCAGCAGUGAGGAAUAUUGGUCAAUGGGCUUACGCCUGAACCAGCCAAGUCGCGUGAGGGAAGACUGCCCUAUGGGUUGUAAACCUCUUUUGUCAGGGAGCAACGCCGGCUACGUAUAGCCGGACUGAGAGUACCUGAAGAAAAAGCAUCGGCUAACUCCGUGCCAGCAGCCGCGGUAAUACGGAGGAUGCGAGCGUUAUCCGGAUUUAUUGGGUUUAAAGGGUGCGUAGGCGGAAUGCCAAGUCAGCGGUAAAAUCGCGGGGCUCAACCUCGCUCCGCCGUUGAAACUGGCGUUCUUGAGUGGGUGAGAAGUAUGCGGAAUGCGUGGUGUAGCGGGGAAAUGCAUAGAUAUCACGCAGAACUCCGAUUGCGAAGGCAGCAUACCGGCGCCCAACUGACGCUGAAGCACGAAAGCGUGGGUAUCGAACAGGAUUAGAUACCCUAGUAGUC
This 460-nucleotide ribosomal RNA is filed under the name uncultured bacterium. RNAcentral's name for it is "partial 16S ribosomal RNA". It matches the Rfam family "Bacterial small subunit ribosomal RNA", at positions 338 to 795 of the family's 1533-position model. The record is from RNAcentral.